Molecule: ribosomal RNA, 433 nt
Filed under: uncultured bacterium
Lineage: Bacteria
Description: bacterial SSU rRNA
Rfam family: Bacterial small subunit ribosomal RNA
Source: RNAcentral
AACGAACGCUGGCGGCAGGCCUAACACAUGCAAGUCGAACGAACCUUCGGGUUAGGGUGGCGCACGGGUGCGUAACACGUGGGAAUAUACAUUUCGGUAAGGAAUAACACAGAGAAAUUUGUGCUAAUACCUUAUAAUGACUCCGGUCCAAAGAUUUAUCGCCGAAGGAUUAGCCCGCGCUAGAUUAGUUUGUUGGUGAGGUAAGAGCUCACCAAGACUACGAUCUAUAGCUGGUCUUAGAGGAUGAUCAGCCACACUGGAACUGAGACACGGUCCAGACUCCUACGGGAGGCAGCAGUGAGGAAUAUUGGACAAUGGGGGCAACCCUGAUCCAGCCAUGCCGCGUGAAUGAAGAAGGCCUUAGGGUUGUAAAAUUCUUUCAGAUGCGAAGAUAAUGACGGUACCAUCAGAAGAAGCUCCGGCUAAAUUCGUG